AUUGAACGCUGGCGGCAUGCCUUACACAUGCAAGUCGAACGGCAGCACGGGAGCAAUCCUGGUGGCGAGUGGCGAACGGGUGAGUAAAGUAUCGGAACGUGCCCAGUCGUGGGGGAUAACGUAGCGAAAGUUACGCUAAUACCGCAUACGAUCUAUGGAUGAAAGCGGGGGAUCGCAAGACCUCGCGCGAUUGGAGCGGCCGAUAGCAGAUUAGGUAGUUGGUGGGGUAAAGGCUCACCAAGACGACGAUCUGUAGCUGGUCUGAGAGGACGACCAGCCACACUGGGACUGAGACACGGCCCAGACUCCUACGGGAGGCAGCAGUGGGGAAUUUUGGACAAUGGGCGAAAGCCUGAUCCAGCCAUGCCGCGUGCAGGAUGAAGGCCUUCGGGUUGUAAACUGCUUUUGUACGGAACGAAAAGGUUUGGGCUAAUAAGCUGAGCUCAUGACGGUACCGUAAGAAUAAGCACCGGCUAACUACGUGCCAGCCGCCGCGGUAA
This 500-nucleotide ribosomal RNA is filed under the name uncultured bacterium. RNAcentral describes it as "partial 16S ribosomal RNA". It matches the Rfam family "Bacterial small subunit ribosomal RNA", at positions 30 to 523 of the family's 1533-position model. The record is from RNAcentral.